Misgurnus anguillicaudatus (oriental weatherfish) is the source of this 3224-nucleotide non-coding RNA. Lineage: Eukaryota; Metazoa; Chordata; Actinopteri; Cypriniformes; Cobitidae. The record is from RefSeq and is a predicted model, not a curated record.
UCAUCUGUUUUGAAAAUAAUCUAACAUUGGGUGUUGUCAAUGGCUACCUUGGAAGAGUUCCGGAGCAGAACUGUCACAUCAUGCACACCCCUUGUACAACGAACCACAAAGGAGAUUUCAACGAGUCUGAGGCUAGAAAAGGAAGCACAUGUACUGAAUAUUUCACUGCACCCGACACCAUGGGGACUAAUCCCCAAACCAACUUCGUCUGGCUAUGUGGACUGACCAUAUACCAUUAUCUACCGGUCGGGUGGACAGGAAGAUGUGCCCCGGUACGGCCUACAGACCAUUCAUUUGUCAUUACUGCUACAGAGGUACAUCGUGGUAAGAGAGACAUUUUCACAAAACAUGAUUCCAUAUGGGGAACGGAUGUCCCCAAUGACCACAAGCUAUGGACCAACGGACAGAAAGUGAGCCUCGCCUUGUUCCCUUGGCUGGGGACUGGAAAGCUCAUGCUAAGGAUGGAGACUUUUGAUUACAGGUUUGAACAGUUUGUUAAUUCUACUCAAGCUGCAUUGAAAGGCAUUCGUGAGGAACUGACAGCCCUACGUAUGAUGGAACUUCAAGACCGUAUUGUCAGGCUCAAAAACAGAAGAGAUCCCAAUGCAGUAAACAGAGUUUUAUUUAAACAAUAAUGACAGCAAACAGACAAUGGCACGUCUGGGCAUAAAGCCACACCAGGGCAGACGGCUGAGACGGGGAACACACACAAACACCGGAGAGGGAAACCACACACGUUCGGGCUCCGGCCAGACAGCGAACGGUGGGAGAGAAUUUAGGAACCCCGAUACGGGACAGGAUGCGUAGACCGCUCCCGUGAGCGCCGCGUCACGAGAGCCAAAGGGACAAGGGAAAAUCCUGCGGCGGUCAGAGGGAGAGAGAGAGCGUUAGUGAUGCUGACGAGAGAAGCUGGACAACUCCAGUGAUUAAGGACCUCUCCAGUGGACAGCGACAAUGCCGCGAUGAGUCUCUGCAGUAAAGUGAUAGACCAGUCUAUAAAUCCAACAGAGGUUGAAGACAGUCCGUAACAGGCAGCAGAGAAACAGUCCAGAGAGCCGUCGAGUAAUCAGAGUCCACAGGAAAACUCUCGGGUAGCAGUGAGCUCAGACUGGGGUAGGAAAAAUAAAUCCACAAACUAGAAUCAGACACAAAACACGACUAGAAACUAGCGUAGCUAGAAAUGGCGAGAACAUACGCCGUGACAGACGAGUAUAUAGACAAACUUUGACAAACGAACUUGCCAAGACACACAGAGAUUAAAUACACAGACCAGACGAGAGGAUAACAAGCAACAGGUGAGGAAGACGAGAGGAGGUAAUCACACUGAACAGGAACACCUGUGAGAGAAGCACACGUGAACCUGAAAAACACAUACAAAAGACAACCACAGUACCAACAAGACAAAACCAUAAAUAUAUUUAUAUAUAUAUAAAAAAAUAUAUUAUGUUAAGUUGACAAAAUGUUUUUUAAGUGUUGCCAAUUGAAGUAAUUUGUUUCUGCUGAUCCAACUUUUACGUUUUACAGUGUAAUGUUCCGACUACAGUAAAUUCCUUCAUUCCUGCAUUUGGCUAUUUUAAAUAGAAGUUGAUUUAAAGAUUUAUUAGGGGCUAAAAGUUCAGAACAGGUUGUCUAUGCUUGUUUGAAGACCACACUGCAGUGUUUUAUUUUGUUUUAUGCCCCACAUUCACAGUAACAUGAACAAUUUAUAUCCAUGUUAAUACAAACUAAGCCCUAUAAUAUUGGCCCCUCUGUCUGUUAACUUUUGUUCGAGCCUGUCUAGAUCUUUUAUCAGUCUAGAAAGAUGUUGGAGAAAAGACACCAUCCUCUUCAAUACUCUCCAUCUGUAAUUGGGCUAACAACUGGACCAGUGAAGGCAGGUAACUUACUCUCCAUUCGACCUUGCAGGUCACACCAUGGUCAAGAGUAAAAAUGAGUGCUCUAUGGAUUGAACAGAAAAGGUGGAUCCACGCUUUAACCAUCUGUAUGAUGAUCUGCACCCACUGGAGCUGUAAAUGGUUGAGCAGUGUGUCCUGGUAAACGUGUUCCCGGAAACAUGCAGAUUACAGUAUCUACGACCUUGAGGCUAUUUUUUGCAUGACAUCCACUGAUGGAUCUGUUUACCUAAAAACAGUCACUAGCCCACCACAAUCCAUGUUUACCAGCUGUGAAAGUGCAGGCCAAAAAUCUUCCUUCACCUGUGGGCCUCUUCCCACAUGUAGAUAAGCACUUCAGGAGAAACCAGCCUGUGAUCUGCUAAGAUGCACAGAUUCAACUCUGGCCCAUUGUCAUCCCAACACCUCAUCUGCCAUCAGUUUCGUUUAGUGUCGGUCUAUUGCAAAAGUUCUUAUAAACUUUAAAUGAGACUUCCAAACCUUUCAUUCCACAACAUAUUAAGCCCAUGAUACACAGCAGGAUUUUUGCAAUCCUAUAAGACCUUAUCACAUUGUGUGACAAGGAUUGUUUAAACUUCAGCAGUAGACUGUCGAUGAAUGCGCUAGUGGACAUCCGUCAUCAUCAGCAUGCGCUAUAGUGGUAAACAAAUACAGGUACGCAGGUCGUAGAAGCAAACACGUUGUUGAUGUGCGUUGAUCAUGCUGAACUUCUUACACUGUCAUAAAACUAUCGUAGGUGUCUUUGGUCCCAGGACUGGGAAAACAGACGUCUUUAAACCUCCCACACUGUACGAGAUAGGACCACCAAUUAAGAGCCACGAUCACAGAAAUCUCCACGAUUGUUUCAGGAAUGGUAAUCUUUCAUCUGGGACGGCCAAAAAUCGUGCCGUGUAUUACAGGCUUUUGACAGGUGUAAUCUUAUAGUAUAUCAAAACCAUUGCUAAUAAUUAAUUGGACAAAGCAUCACUACAAUGCAACACUCACUAUCUUACUGUCUUCACCCACAGUUUAAAAACCCUGAGUAUGAGAAAGAGUAUGUUGUAUUGUAAUUAAAGUCACAUCUAAGUGUUAUGGAGCAGUUUGUCAUUAUAUUCACAGUAUUACAUGGUUCUUUCAGCAGUUACUACGUUACAGUGCUCUUAAAGUGUCCUGGUCAGCUUUGGGUCUUGUGAAGUAAUGUAAUGAGAAUGGGAUCAAUAGCUUUGCAGUAUUUUUGUUACACCGUGGCUGUAAUUGUAUUAACACAUAGGUUAAACAUUUUAUUCAAAUUUGGUAAACAAGCUAGUCAAUAUAAUUCAUGCUGUGAUGCUGGAUUAAACCUGGUCAAAUGAA